GUAGGUGGCAAGCGUUGUCCGGAUUUAUUGGGUUUAAAGGGUGCGUAGGCGGUUCCAUAAGUCGGGUGUAAAAACUCCAGGCUCAACCUGGAGACGCCACUCGAGACUGCUAUGGCUAGAGUCCGGUAGGGGACCACGGAAUUCCUGGUGUAGCGGUGAAAUGCGCAGAUAUCAGGAGGAACACCGGUGGCGAAGGCGGUGGUCUGGGCCGGCACUGACGCUGAGGAGCGAAAGCGUGGGGAGCAAACAGGAUUAGAUACCCUGGUAGUCCACGCCGUAAACGUUGGGCACUAGGUGUGGGACCUUAUCAACGGGUUCCGUGCCGUAGCUAACGCAUUAAGUGCCCCGCCUGGGGAGUACGGCCGCAAGGCUA
RNAcentral lists this ribosomal RNA (373 nucleotides) under uncultured bacterium. RNAcentral's name for it is "bacterial SSU rRNA". It matches the Rfam family "Bacterial small subunit ribosomal RNA", at positions 527 to 896 of the family's 1533-position model. The record is from RNAcentral.